GGAUUCCCGCCGAGUAAGAACUAGCCAUUCGCUCGUAGCGAGUCUUGGAGGGGCAAAGGUAACUUUGGUCUUUAAGCGUAGACAGUUAGGUGGCGGGCCGAAAGCCAAAUGGUUGAAGGGAUUGAGCUCCAUAAACGUUUGUAAACCGAGAGGGCUGAUGCCUUAACUGCGUGUAGAAAGCAAUAUUUUAUCUUUUGUUAUAGGCGAGAAAGAUAAAACCUCUCUGGAGUCAGAGACCU
This is a non-coding RNA of Bacillus sp. FJAT-27916, 239 nucleotides long. The record is from Rfam. NCBI's taxonomy places the organism in Bacteria, Bacillati, Bacillota, Bacilli, Caryophanales, Bacillaceae.